GACGAACCGUGCGAACGUUAUUCGGAAUCACUGGGCUUAAAGGGCGCGUAGGCGGGCGGCCAAGUCAGAGGUGAAAGCUCCCAGCUCAACUGGGGAAGUGCCUUUGAUACUGGUCGUCUCGAGGGAGAUAGGGGCGUGCGGAACUUCCGGUGGAGCGGUGAAAUGCGUAGAUAUCGGAAGGAACACCGGUGGCGAAAGCGGCGCGCUGGAUCUCUUCUGACGCUGAGGCGCGAAAGCCAGGGGAGCGAACAGG
This 253-nucleotide ribosomal RNA is filed under the name uncultured bacterium. Its description in RNAcentral is "partial 16S ribosomal RNA". It matches the Rfam family "Bacterial small subunit ribosomal RNA", at positions 524 to 776 of the family's 1533-position model. The record is from RNAcentral.